AGGUUAAGUUAACAAGGGCGCAUGGUGAAUGCCUUGGCACUAGGAGCCGAUGAAGGACGGGACUAACACCGAUAUGCUUCGGGGAGCUGUACGUAAGCUAUGAUCCGGAGAUUUCCGAAUGGGGCAACCCAGCAGUUUUAAUCAACUGUUACCACUAGAUGAAUUCAUAGUCUAGUUGGAGGUAAACGCUGUGAACUGAAACAUCUCAUUAGCAGCAGGAAUAUAAAGAAAUUUCGAUUCCCUAAGUAGCGGCGAGCGAACGGGGAACAGCCCAAACCAAAGUGCUUGCACUUUGGGGUUGUAGGACUGAACAUUUGAGUUACCAAAGAACUUGAUAGUCGAAGGAUUUGGGAAAAUCCGCCAUAGAUGGUGAUAGCCCAGUAGAUUAAAUCAAAUUCUCUCAGUUCAGGAUCCUGAGUACGGCGGAACACGUGAAAUUCCGUCGGAAUCCGGGAGGACCAUCUCCCAAGGCUAAAUACUACCUAGUGACCGAUAGUGAACCAGUACCGUGAGGGAAAGGUGAAAAGCACCCCGGGAGGGGAGUGAAAUAGUUCCUGAAACCAUGUGCCUACAAUAAGUCAGAGCGCGUUAAUGCGUGAUGGCGUGCCUUUUGUAGAAUGAACCGGCGAGUUAUGAUCCCGUGCAAGGUUAAGACUAAAAAGUCGGAGCCGUAGCGAAAGCGAGUCUGAAAUGGGCGUUUUGAGUACGAGGUUAUAGACCCGAAACCAGGUGACCUAUCCAUGUCCAGGUUGAAGGUGCGGUAAAACGCACUGGAGGACCGAACCCGUGUAAGUUGAAAAUUGCUGGGAUGAGGUGUGGAUAGCGGUGAAAUUCCAAACGAACUUGGAGAUAGCUGGUUCUCUCCGAAAUAGCUUUAGGGCUAGCCUCGGAAUUAGGAUCAUGGAGGUAGAGCACUAUUUGGACUAGGGGCCCGUCUUGGGUUACUGAAUUCAGAUAAACUCCGAAUGCCAUUGAUUCAUAUCCGGGAGUCAGACGAUGAGUGAUAAGAUCCACCGUCGAAAGGGGAACAGCCCAGACCAUCAGUUAAGGUCCCUAAAUGUAUGCUAAGUGGAAAAGGAUGUGGAGUUGCAUAGACAACUAGGAUGUUGGCUCAGAAGCAGCCACCAUUUAAAGAGUGCGUAAUAGCUCACUAGUCGAGUGAUCCUGCGCCGAAAAUGUACCGGGGCUAAGCAUACUACCGAAACCAUGGAUGCGACCAUUAGGUCGCGUGAUAGGAGAGCGUUCUAAGGGCGGUGAAGCAGGAUCGUGAGGACUUGUGGAGCGCUUAGAAGUGAGAAUGCCGGUAUGAGUAGCGAAAGAUAGGUGAGAAUCCUAUCCACCGAAUGACUAAGGUUUCCUGGGGAAGGCUCGUCCUCCCAGGGUUAGUCGGGACCUAAGUCGAGGCCGAGAGGCGUAGACGAUGGAUAACAGGUUGAGAUUCCUGUACUAGUUAAGUGCGUUUGAGCAAUGGAGGGACGCAGGAGGCUAAGAUGUGCAUUCUGUUGGAUUAGAAUGUCCAAGCAGUAAGUCUUGUGAAGAGUCAAAUGCUUUUCACUUUAAGGACAAGCUGUGAUGGGGAGCGAAAUUUAGUAGCGAAGCGUCUGAUGUCACACUGCCGAGAAAAGCUUCUAGUGAGUACUUAACUACCCGUACCGCAAACCGACACAGGUAGUCGAGGAGAGAAUCCUAAGGUGAGCGAGUGAACUCUCGUUAAGGAACUCGGCAAAAUGACCCCGUAACUUCGGGAGAAGGGGUGCUGAUCGCAAGAUCAGCCGCAGUGAAUAGGCCCAGGCGACUGUUUAUCAAAAACACAGGUCUCUGCAAAAUCGUAAGAUGACGUAUAGGGGCUGACGCCUGCCCGGUGCUGGAAGGUUAAAAGGAUGGGUUAGCUUCGGCGAAGCUCAGAAUUGAAGCCCCAGUAAACGGCGGCCGUAACUAUAACGGUCCUAAGGUAGCGAAAUUCCUUGUCGGGUAAGUUCCGACCCGCACGAAAGGCGUAACGAUCUGGGCACUGUCUCAACGAGAGACUCGGUGAAAUUAUAUUGUCCGUGAAGAUGCGGACUACCCGCGACAGGACGGAAAGACCCCAUGGAGCUUUACUGUAGCUUGAUAUUGAGUGUUUGUACAGCUUGUACAGGAUAGGUAGGAGCCAUAGAAACCGGAACGCUAGUUUCGGUGGAGGCGUUGGUGGGAUACUACCCUCGCUGUAUGACCACUCUAACCCGCACCACUAAUCGUGGUGGGAGACAGUGUCAGGUGGGCAGUUUGACUGGGGCGGUCGCCUCCUAAAAAGUAACGGAGGCGCCCAAAGGUUCCCUCAGAAUGGUUGGAAAUCAUUCGCAGAGUGUAAAGGCACAAGGGAGCUUGACUGCGAGACAGACAGGUCGAGCAGGGACGAAAGUCGGGCUUAGUGAUCCGGUGGUACCGUAUGGAAGGGCCAUCGCUCAACGGAUAAAAGCUACCCUGGGGAUAACAGGCUUAUCUCCCCCAAGAGUCCACAUCGACGGGGAGGUUUGGCACCUCGAUGUCGGCUCAUCGCAUCCUGGGGCUGUAGUCGGUCCCAAGGGUUGGGCUGUUCGCCCAUUAAAGCGGUACGCGAGCUGGGUUCAGAACGUCGUGAGACAGUUCGGUCCCUAUCCGUCGCGGGCGUAGGAAAUUUGAGAGGACCUGUCCUUAGUACGAGAGGACCGGGAUGGACAUACCUCUGGUGUACCAGUUGUGCCGCCAGGCGCAUCGCUGGGUAGCUACGUAUGGAUGUGAUAAACGCUGAAAGCAUCUAAGUGUGAAACACACCUCGAGAUGAGAUUUCCCAUUCCUUUAUGGAAGUAAGACCCCUGAAAGAUGAUCAGGUAGAUAGGUUAGAAGUGGCAGUGCGGUGACGCAUGAAGCGGACUAAUACUAAUCGGUCGAGGACUUAACCAAG
RNAcentral lists this ribosomal RNA (2923 nucleotides) under Lactiplantibacillus plantarum. RNAcentral describes it as "Lactobacillus plantarum 23S ribosomal RNA". It matches the Rfam family "Bacterial large subunit ribosomal RNA". The record is from RNAcentral. Lineage: Bacteria; Bacillati; Bacillota; Bacilli; Lactobacillales; Lactobacillaceae.